RNAcentral lists this ribosomal RNA (444 nucleotides) under uncultured bacterium. Its description in RNAcentral is "bacterial SSU rRNA". It matches the Rfam family "Bacterial small subunit ribosomal RNA", at positions 354 to 796 of the family's 1533-position model. The record is from RNAcentral.
GUAGGGAAUAUUGGGCAAUGGAGGCAACUCUGACCCAGCCAUGCCGCGUGAAGGAUGAAGGCCUUCUGGGUUGUAAACUUCUUUUAUACAGGAAGAAAAAGGUCAUGCGUGACCAAUUGACGGUACUGUAUGAAUAAGCACCGGCUAACUCCGUGCCAGCAGCCGCGGUAAUACGGAGGGUGCAAGCGUUGUCCGGAUUUAUUGGGUUUAAAGGGUGCGCAGGCGGUGCGUUAAGUCAGUGGUGAAAUCUCUCGGCUCAACCGAGAAACUGCCAUUGAUACUGGCGUACUUGAGUACGGACGAGGUAGGCGGAAUUUAUGGUGUAGCGGUGAAAUGCAUAGAUACCAUAAAGAACACCGAUAGCGAAGGCAGCUUACUAGACCGUAACUGACGCUCAUGCACGAAAGCGUGGGGAGCGAACAGGAUUAGAAACCCUAGUAGUCC